Long non-coding RNA from Oncorhynchus tshawytscha (Chinook salmon), 342 nucleotides. The record is from Ensembl. NCBI's taxonomy places the organism in Eukaryota, Metazoa, Chordata, Actinopteri, Salmoniformes, Salmonidae.
AGAACACAUUUGAUUCAUUAAAAGGGUCUGGCAUAGUUGAUUAAAGUUGGCUUGAUGCCACGGCUGUUGAUGCUAGGCUGAAAUUACACUGUCAGUACUGUCAUAGUUGGGCUGUAAUGAAAACCACGCGUGUCAGGUCAGAGGUCAUAGUUGGGCUGUAAUGAAAACCACGAGUAUCAGGUCAGAGGUCAUAGGUGGGCUGUAAUGAAAACCACGAGUAUCAGGUCAGAGGUCAUAGUUGGGCUGUAAUGAAAACCACGGGUGGCAGGUCAGAGGUCAUAGUUGGGCUGUAAUGAAAACCACGAGUAUCAGGUCAGAGGUCAUAGUUGGGCUGUAAUGAAA